AGCUUGCUCCGGAAGAUCUAGUGGCGAACGGGUGCGUAACACGUGAGAAACCUGUCCUGGGACUCUGGGAUAACAGUUGGAAACGGCUGCUAAUACCGGAUGCCUUCAUUUGACCGCAUGGUUGUUUGAAGAGAGAUUUAUCGGUUUGGGAGGGUCUCGCGGCCUAUCAGCUUGUUGGAGAGGUAACGGCUCACCAAGGCUUCGACGGGUAGCUGGUCUGAGAGGAUGAUCAGCCACACUGGAACUGAGACACGGUCCAGACUCC
RNAcentral lists this ribosomal RNA (265 nucleotides) under unidentified marine bacterioplankton. Its description in RNAcentral is "partial 16S ribosomal RNA". It matches the Rfam family "Bacterial small subunit ribosomal RNA", at positions 77 to 339 of the family's 1533-position model. The record is from RNAcentral.